GGUUGAUCCUGCCAGUAGUCAUAUGCUUGUCUCAAAGAUUAAGCCUCG
This 48-nucleotide ribosomal RNA is filed under the name Acacia obtecta. RNAcentral's name for it is "partial 18S ribosomal RNA". Lineage: Eukaryota; Viridiplantae; Streptophyta; Magnoliopsida; Fabales; Fabaceae. The record is from RNAcentral.